This 103-nucleotide ribosomal RNA is filed under the name Klebsiella aerogenes. RNAcentral describes it as "partial 23S ribosomal RNA". It matches the Rfam family "Bacterial large subunit ribosomal RNA", at positions 1 to 103 of the family's 2925-position model. The record is from RNAcentral. Lineage: Bacteria; Pseudomonadati; Pseudomonadota; Gammaproteobacteria; Enterobacterales; Enterobacteriaceae. RNAcentral also lists the same sequence under 7 other names.
GGUUAAGCGACUAAGCGUACACGGUGGAUGCCCUGGCAGUCAGAGGCGAUGAAGGACGUGCUAAUCUGCGAAAAGCGUCGGUAAGGUGAUAUGAACCGUUACA